GUCUAUAGCCAUGCCACCCUGAACACGCCUGAACUUGUCUGACCUUGGAAGCUAAGCAGGGUCGGGCCUGGUGAGUACGUGGAUGGGAGAAUGGAGAAAUCGCUGGGCUUUGCUAAUGCAGGUUGUAAAGUCA
This 133-nucleotide ribosomal RNA is filed under the name Prolemur simus (greater bamboo lemur). The record is from RNAcentral. Lineage: Eukaryota; Metazoa; Chordata; Mammalia; Primates; Lemuridae.